CUACAGUUACACACACACAGGGCUACAGGUACACACUCACACACACACACACACACACACACACACAGGGAUACAGGUACACACACACACACAGGGCUACAGGUACACACACACACAGGGCUACAGGUACACACACACACACAGGGAUACAGGUACACACACACACACACACAGGGCUACAGGUACACACACACACACAGGGAUACAGGUACACACACACACACAGGGCUACAGGUACACACACACACACACACACACACACACACACACACACACACACACACACACACAGGGCUACAGGUACACGCACACACAGGGCUACAGGUAACACACACACACACACACACACACACACACACACACACACACACACACACACACACACACACACACACACAGGGCUACAGGUACACGCACACACAGGGCUACAGGUACACACACACAGGGCUACAGGUACACACACACAUACACAGGGCUACAG
This 481-nucleotide long non-coding RNA is filed under the name Salmo salar (Atlantic salmon). RNAcentral describes it as "lncRNA (ENSSSAG00000111393.1)". The record is from RNAcentral. Lineage: Eukaryota; Metazoa; Chordata; Actinopteri; Salmoniformes; Salmonidae.